UCCCAGACUCCUACGGGAGGCAGCAGUGGGGAAUAUUGCACAAUGGGGGAAACCCUGAUGCAGCGACGCCGCGUGAGUGAAGAAGUAUUUCGGUAUGUAAAGCUCUAUCAGCAGGGAAGAAAAUGACGGUACCUGACUAAGAAGCUCCGGCUAAAUACGUGCCAGCAGCCGCGGUAAUACGUAUGGAGCAAGCGUUAUCCGGAUUUACUGGGUGUAAAGGGAGCGCAGGCGGCUUUGCAAGUCUGAUGUGAAAGGCCAGGGCUCAACCCUGGGACUGCAUUGGAAACUGUAAAGCUAGAGUGCCGGAGAGGUAAGCGGAAUUCCUAGUGUAGCGGUGAAAUGCGUAGAUAUUAGGGGGAACGCCAGUGGCGAAGGCGGCUUACUGGACGGCAACUGACGCUGAGGCUCGAAAGCGUGGGGAGCAAACAGGAUUAGAUACCCUGGUAU
RNAcentral lists this ribosomal RNA (447 nucleotides) under uncultured bacterium. RNAcentral describes it as "bacterial SSU rRNA". It matches the Rfam family "Bacterial small subunit ribosomal RNA", at positions 329 to 793 of the family's 1533-position model. The record is from RNAcentral.